GAGCUUCUAUCACCUUGUCUAUCGUUGUUACUGCAUAUCCUGCAUAGCGGAUCCCUUCUUUUACAUAACUACUGCCGUCGGUGUAAUAUUGAACAUCAGGGUUCUGGAUGGAAAAAUCACGAAGAUCUGGUCUACUUGAAAAUACUUCAUCCAUUACUUCCAAACAAUCAUGUUGACUUUCAGUAGGUUGUGGCAAAAGGGUAGCUGGAUUUAAG
This is a non-coding RNA of Pelobates cultripes (western spadefoot toad), 215 nucleotides long. NCBI's taxonomy places the organism in Eukaryota, Metazoa, Chordata, Amphibia, Anura, Pelobatidae. The record is from the annotation of a GenBank genome assembly.